GAUGAACGCUGGCGGCGUGCCUAAUACAUGCAAGUCGAGCGAACAGACGAGGAGCUUGCUCCUCUGACGUUAGCGGCGGACGGGUGAGUAACACGUGGAUAACCUACCUAUAAGACUGGGAUAACUUCGGGAAACCGGAGCUAAUACCGGAUAAUAUAUUGAACCGCAUGGUUCAAUAGUGAAAGACGGUUUUGCUGUCACUUAUAGAUGGAUCCGCGCCGCAUUAGCUAGUUGGUAAGGUAACGGCUUACCAAGGCGACGAUGCGUAGCCGACCUGAGAGGGGGAUCGGCCACACGGGACCUGAGACACGGCCCAGACUCCUACGGGAGGCAGCAGUAGGGAAUCUCCCGCAAUGGGCGAAAGCCUGACGGAGCAACGCCGCGUGAGUGAUGAAGGUCUUCGGAUCGUAAAACUCUGUUAUUAGGGAAGAACAAAUGUGUAAGUAACUAUGCACGUCUUGACGGGACCUAAUCAGAAAGCCACGGCUAACUACGU
RNAcentral lists this ribosomal RNA (496 nucleotides) under uncultured bacterium. Its description in RNAcentral is "partial 16S ribosomal RNA". It matches the Rfam family "Bacterial small subunit ribosomal RNA", at positions 28 to 506 of the family's 1533-position model. The record is from RNAcentral.